Molecule: transfer RNA, 70 nt
Filed under: Crossorhombus azureus (blue flounder)
Lineage: Eukaryota; Metazoa; Chordata; Actinopteri; Pleuronectiformes; Bothidae
Description: tRNA-Ala
Rfam family: tRNA
About the family: Transfer RNA (tRNA) molecules are approximately 80 nucleotides in length. Their secondary structure includes four short double-helical elements and three loops (D, anti-codon, and T loops).
Source: RNAcentral
AAAGCCUUAGCUUAAAUUAAAGUAUCUGUCUUGCGGUCAGAAGAUGCGGAUUAAAUUUCCGUAGGUUUUA